This 438-nucleotide ribosomal RNA is filed under the name uncultured Glomus. Its description in RNAcentral is "SSU rRNA". It matches the Rfam family "Eukaryotic small subunit ribosomal RNA", at positions 569 to 1014 of the family's 1831-position model. The record is from RNAcentral. Lineage: Eukaryota; Fungi; Glomeromycota; Glomeromycetes; Glomerales; Glomeraceae.
AGCAGCCGCGGUAAUUCCAGUUCCAAUAGCGUAUAUUAAAGUUGUUGCAGUUAAAAGCUCGUAGUUGAAUUUCGGGGUUAGUAGGUUGGUCGUGCCACUGGUAUGCACUGGCCUCACUGAUUCCUCCUUCUUGAGAACUGUAAUGCCAUUAAUUUGGUGUUGCAGGGAAACAGGACUGUUACUUUGAAAAAUUAGAGUGUUUAAAGCAGGCUAAACGCUUGAAUACAUUAGCAUGGAAUAAUGAAAUAGGACGUUUGAUCCUAUUUUGUUGGUUUCUAGGAUUGACGUAAUGAUUAAUAGGGAUAGUUGGGGGCAUUAGUAUUCAAUUGUCAGAGGUGAAAUUCUUUGGAUUUAUUGAAGACUAACUACUGCGAAAGCAUUUGCCAAGGAUGUUUCAUUAAUCAAGAACGAAAGUUAGGGAUCGAAGACGAUCAGAUA